RNAcentral lists this transfer RNA (87 nucleotides) under Bacteroidales bacterium. RNAcentral's name for it is "tRNA-Ser". It matches the Rfam family "tRNA". Rfam says of the family: Transfer RNA (tRNA) molecules are approximately 80 nucleotides in length. Their secondary structure includes four short double-helical elements and three loops (D, anti-codon, and T loops). Lineage: Bacteria; Pseudomonadati; Bacteroidota; Bacteroidia; Bacteroidales. The record is from RNAcentral.
GGAAAGUUGCCAGAGUGGACGAUUGGGCUUGAUUGGAGAUCAAGUGUGCGGGUAACUGCACCAUAGGUUCGAAUCCUAUACUUUCCG